This 692-nucleotide ribosomal RNA is filed under the name Bacillus cereus. RNAcentral describes it as "bacterial SSU rRNA". It matches the Rfam family "Bacterial small subunit ribosomal RNA", at positions 38 to 721 of the family's 1533-position model. Lineage: Bacteria; Bacillati; Bacillota; Bacilli; Caryophanales; Bacillaceae. The record is from RNAcentral.
GGCGGCGUGCCUAAUACAUGCAAGUCGAGCGUCCUGGAUUAAGAGCUUGCUCUUAUGAAGUUAGCGGCGGACGGGUGAGUAACACGUGGGUAACCUGCCCAUAAGACUGGGAUAACUCCGGGAAACCGGGGCUAAUACCGGAUAACAUUUUGAACCGCAUGGUUCGAAAUUGAAAGGCGGCUUCGGCUGUCACUUAUGGAUGGACCCGCGUCGCAUUAGCUAGUUGGUGAGGUAACGGCUCACCAAGGCAACGAUGCGUAGCCGACCUGAGAGGGUGAUCGGCCACACUGGGACUGAGACACGGCCCAGACUCCUACGGGAGGCAGCAGUAGGGAAUCUUCCGCAAUGGACGAAAGUCUGACGGAGCAACGCCGCGUGAGUGAUGAAGGCUUUCGGGUCGUAAAACUCUGUUGUUAGGGAAGAACAAGUGCUAGUUGAAUAAGCUGGCACCUUGACGGUACCUAACCAGAAAGCCACGGCUAACUACGUGCCAGCAGCCGCGGUAAUACGUAGGUGGCAAGCGUUAUCCGGAAUUAUUGGGCGUAAAGCGCGCGCAGGUGGUUUCUUAAGUCUGAUGUGAAAGCCCACGGCUCAACCGUGGAGGGUCAUUGAAACUGGGAACUUGAUGCAAAAGGAAAGUGGAUUCCAUGUGAACGGGGAAUGCUAAAAUUGGAGAACCCUGGCGAAGGAAU